GUUCCUUUGGGACAUCCGAUAAAAUUAGAAUGAUACAGAGAAGAUUAGCAUACCUCACGCAAGAAUAAAAAAAAAUAAAGCUUACAUUCAU
Molecule: small nuclear RNA, 91 nt
Filed under: Solanum tuberosum (potato)
Lineage: Eukaryota; Viridiplantae; Streptophyta; Magnoliopsida; Solanales; Solanaceae
Source: RNAcentral